GACGAACGCUGGCGGCGUGCUUAACACAUGCAAGUCGAACGGAAAGGCCCUGCUUUUGUGGGGUGCUCGAGUGGCGAACGGGUGAGUAACACGUGAGUAACCUGCCCUUGACUUUGGGAUAACUUCAGGAAACUGGGGCUAAUACCGGAUAGGAGCUCCUGCUGCAUGGGGGGGGUUGGAAAGUUUCGGCGGUUGGGGAUGGACUCGCGGCUUAUCAGCUUGUUGGUGGGGUAGUGGCUUACCAAGGCUUUGACGGGUAGCCGGCCUGAGAGGGUGACCGGCCACAUUGGGACUGAGAUACGGACCAGACGCCUACGGGAGGCAGCAGUGGGGAAUAUUGCACAAUGGGCGGAAGCCUGAUGCAGCAACGCCGCGUGCGGGAUGACGGCCUUCGGGUUGUAAACCGCUUUCGCCUGUGACGAAGCGUGAGUGACGGUAAUGGGUAAAGAAGCACCGGCUAACUACGUG
This 468-nucleotide ribosomal RNA is filed under the name uncultured bacterium. RNAcentral's name for it is "partial 16S ribosomal RNA". It matches the Rfam family "Bacterial small subunit ribosomal RNA", at positions 28 to 507 of the family's 1533-position model. The record is from RNAcentral.